Non-coding RNA from Cherax quadricarinatus, 338 nucleotides. Lineage: Eukaryota; Metazoa; Arthropoda; Malacostraca; Decapoda; Parastacidae. The record is from RefSeq and is a predicted model, not a curated record.
ACUCAAGCAAGCCACAUGAGUAGCCUUCAUCGCUUGUGAUUCUAGUUCCAAGCAUUCUGAGUGCUCCUUGUCAUCCUUGUGGUGUUGUAGUAUUUCGUGGGUUUCUUCUAAGCCAGCCGGCUUAGAAUUAUCUUCGCGGCAGUGUGGGUUUUCUCAGUGAGGCUUACGACGUUCAACCCAUAAGCCCAGCCACUCACGAUCACGUGUGUCGCAUCAUUGCCGGUCUCAGACGCCUCGCUCAGCCAUCACCCACAAACCCAACUACAGUCGGCCAUUACAACUCACCUACCUCAUCAGUGUUUUGACAAUAGUGCCAUUUUUAAAGCUCCAGCAAGAAA